UUUAACCUUCAAAAACAAAUGAACUAAAAAACAGACAGAGGACAGAAAUACAUCUUUGAAGUUGAAAUGAGUUCAUUUUGUUUUUGGAACAAGAGCAGGUUCUUUUCACACUAGCAUGGGCACUUAGCAUAAGUAACCAUUCAUCAGGCCAGAAAAAGUGGAAGGAGUCAUGGGAUUGAAAGCAUCAAGGAGUCUUGAGAGUCUACUUUUAACCCAUUUAAUUUCCUGCUAAAGUAAAAUUUCUUCCAUUUGUGUCAGCCCUUUGGGGUCAGCAUACAGCAGCGGUCUCCUCUGUGGUUUUUGUUUUUUUUUUUUUUUUCUGGAAACAACCCAGUUCAGAGCUCUGAAAGAUGUUCAGCAGGUUCUGUCCUGCUGUGUGGCUGAUGAAACUGGUAGGCCAGCCACUUCCUCUUGGUUACCAUGGAAAUGAUCAGGCCGCUGGCCCUCCGAAAACGGAAAAGAACAGCAAGUUCAAGACCACGCAUUCCACCCCGGCUUGCAGAUGAAACCAGCUGUCAAGCCAGGGUGAAGGAUCAGCGGCCAGGCAGAGGCUUGAGGGACAGAAAGACAAGGCACCACCGUGGAACCCUAAGAUAAUCGUUGGAACUUGAACACAGAUGAAAGCAAAAGCCUAAGGCUUACGUCUUAA
Molecule: long non-coding RNA, 649 nt
Filed under: Cavia porcellus (domestic guinea pig)
Lineage: Eukaryota; Metazoa; Chordata; Mammalia; Rodentia; Caviidae
Description: lncRNA (ENSCPOG00000035941.1)
Source: RNAcentral